Molecule: ribosomal RNA, 91 nt
Filed under: Peromyscus maniculatus bairdii (prairie deer mouse)
Lineage: Eukaryota; Metazoa; Chordata; Mammalia; Rodentia; Cricetidae
Source: RNAcentral
GUCUACCGCCAUACCACCCUGAACGUACCUGAUCUCGGAAGCUAAGCAGGGUCGGGCCUGGAUGGGAGAAUACAUCUGAGCACUGUGCACA